This 391-nucleotide unclassified non-coding RNA is filed under the name soil metagenome. RNAcentral's name for it is "partial contains 5.8S ribosomal RNA, internal transcribed spacer 2, and large subunit ribosomal RNA". The stretch from base 1 to 122 matches the Rfam family "5.8S ribosomal RNA", at positions 35 to 154 of the family's 154-position model. The record is from RNAcentral.
GAUGAAGAACGCAGCGAAAUGCGAUACUUGGUGUGAAUUGCAGAAUCCCGUGAACCAUCGAGUCUUUGAACGCAAGUUGCGCCCGAAGCCACUAGGCCGAGGGCACGCCUGCCUGGGCGUCACACGCCGUUGCCCCCCCAUCUACUCCUUCGGGAUUGCGGGGGGGCGGAUGAUGGCCUCCUGUGCGCCUAGCCGCGCGGUUGGCAUAAAUACCAAGUCCUCGGCGACGCACGCCACGACAAUCGGUGGUUGCGAAACCUCGGUUGCCCGUCGUGUGCGUUCGUCGCGCAUCGAGGGCUCGAAAAAAUGCUCGGCUCCGGCUGGGUUUUCAACGCGACCCCAGGUCAGGCGGGGUUACCCGCUGAAUUUAAGCAUAUCAAUAAGCGGAGGA